This 2908-nucleotide ribosomal RNA is filed under the name Vibrio parahaemolyticus. RNAcentral describes it as "partial 23S ribosomal RNA". It matches the Rfam family "Bacterial large subunit ribosomal RNA". The record is from RNAcentral. Lineage: Bacteria; Pseudomonadati; Pseudomonadota; Gammaproteobacteria; Vibrionales; Vibrionaceae.
GUUGUAUGGUUAAGUGACUAAGCGUACACGGUGGAUGCCUUGGCAGUCAGAGGCGAUGAAAGACGUAGUAACUUGCGAUAAGCCCAGAUUAGGUAGUAACAACCAUUUGAGUCUGGGAUUUCUGAAUGGGGAAACCCACUUACAUAAGUAAGUAUCAUUAAUUGAAUACAUAGGUUAAUGAGGCGAACCGGGGGAACUGAAACAUCUAAGUACCCCGAGGAAAAGAAAUCAACCGAGAUUCCGAAAGUAGCGGCGAGCGAAAUUGGACUAGCCCUUAAGCUUUACACGCGUUAGACGAACGGUCUGGAAAGUCCGACGAUACAGGGUGAUAGUCCCGUAGUUGACGACGUGUGUUCAGUGAAAUCGAGUAGGGCGGGACACGUGAUAUCCUGUCUGAAUAUGGGGGGACCAUCCUCCAAGGCUAAAUACUACUGACUGACCGAUAGUGAACCAGUACCGUGAGGGAAAGGCGAAAAGAACCCCUGUGAGGGGAGUGAAAUAGAACCUGAAACCGUGUACGUACAAGCAGUAGGAGCAGGCUUUGUCCUGUGACUGCGUACCUUUUGUAUAAUGGGUCAGCGACUUAUAUUCAGUGGCAAGGUUAACCAUCUAGGGGAGCCGUAGGGAAACCGAGUCUUAACUGGGCGUUCAGUCUCUGGAUAUAGACCCGAAACCAGGUGAUCUAGCCAUGGGCAGGUUGAAGGUUGAGUAACAUCAACUGGAGGACCGAACCGACUAAUGUUGAAAAAUUAGCGGAUGACUUGUGGCUAGGGGUGAAAGGCCAAUCAAACCUGGAGAUAGCUGGUUCUCCCCGAAAGCUAUUUAGGUAGCGCCUCGGACGAAUACUACUGGGGGUAGAGCACUGUUAAGGCUAGGGGGUCAUCCCGACUUACCAACCCUUUGCAAACUCCGAAUACCAGUAAGUACUAUCCGGGAGACACACGGCGGGUGCUAACGUCCGUCGUGGAGAGGGAAACAACCCAGACCGCCAGCUAAGGUCCCAAAUUACUACUAAGUGGGAAACGAUGUGGGAAGGCUCAGACAGCCAGGAUGUUGGCUUAGAAGCAGCCAUCAUUUAAAGAAAGCGUAAUAGCUCACUGGUCGAGUCGGCCUGCGCGGAAGAUGUAACGGGGCUAAGUAGUAAACCGAAGCUGCGGCAAUGUGCUUUUGCACAUUGGGUAGGGGAGCGUUCUGUAAGCGGUUGAAGGUGUGUGGUAACGCAUGCUGGACGUAUCAGAAGUGCGAAUGCUGACAUGAGUAACGAUAAAGGGGGUGAAAAACCUCCUCGCCGGAAGACCAAGGGUUCCUGUCCAACGUUAAUCGGGGCAGGGUAAGUCGACCCCUAAGGCGAGGCCGAAAGGCGUAGUCGAUGGGAAACGGGUUAAUAUUCCCGUACUUCUUACAAUUGCGAUGGGGGGACGGAGAAGGCUAGGUGGGCCUGGCGACGGUUGUCCAGGUUCAAGUGCGUAGGCUUAAGAGUUAGGUAAAUCCGGCUCUUUUUAAGGCUGAGACACGACGUCGAGCACCUACGGGUGUGAAGUCAUUGAUGCCAUGCUUCCAGGAAAAGCCUCUAAGCUUCAGAUUGUAAGGAAUCGUACCCCAAACCGACACAGGUGGUCGGGUAGAGAAUACCAAGGCGCUUGAGAGAACUCGGGUGAAGGAACUAGGCAAAAUGGUACCGUAACUUCGGGAGAAGGUACGCUCUCGACGGUGAAGUCCCUCGCGGAUGGAGCUAUUGAGAGUCGCAGAUACCAGGUGGCUGCAACUGUUUAUUAAAAACACAGCACUGUGCAAAAUCGUAAGAUGACGUAUACGGUGUGACGCCUGCCCGGUGCCGGAAGGUUAAUUGAUGGGGUUAGACUUCGGUCGAAGCUCUUGAUCGAAGCCCCGGUAAACGGCGGCCGUAACUAUAACGGUCCUAAGGUAGCGAAAUUCCUUGUCGGGUAAGUUCCGACCUGCACGAAUGGCGUAAUGAUGGCCACGCUGUCUCCACCCGAGACUCAGUGAAAUUGAAAUCGCUGUGAAGAUGCAGUGUACCCGCGGCUAGACGGAAAGACCCCGUGAACCUUUACUACAGCUUGGCACUGAACAUUGACCCUACAUGUGUAGGAUAGGUGGGAGGCUUUGAAGCACGUACGCCAGUAUGUGUGGAGCCGUCCUUGAAAUACCACCCUUGUAGUGUUGAUGUUCUAACGUUGACCCCUUAUCGGGGUUGCGGACAGUGCCUGGUGGGUAGUUUGACUGGGGCGGUCUCCUCCCAAAGAGUAACGGAGGAGCACGAAGGUGGGCUAAUCACGGUUGGACAUCGUGAGGUUAGUGCAAUGGCAUAAGCCCGCUUGACUGCGAGAAUGACAAUUCGAGCAGGUGCGAAAGCAGGUCAUAGUGAUCCGGUGGUUCUGAAUGGAAGGGCCAUCGCUCAACGGAUAAAAGGUACUCCGGGGAUAACAGGCUGAUACCGCCCAAGAGUUCAUAUCGACGGCGGUGUUUGGCACCUCGAUGUCGGCUCAUCACAUCCUGGGGCUGAAGUCGGUCCCAAGGGUAUGGCUGUUCGCCAUUUAAAGUGGUACGCGAGCUGGGUUUAGAACGUCGUGAGACAGUUCGGUCCCUAUCUGCCGUGGGCGUUGGAAGAUUGAAGGGGGCUGCUCCUAGUACGAGAGGACCGGAGUGGACGAACCUCUGGUGUUCGGGUUGUGUCGCCAGACGCAUUGCCCGGUAGCUAAGUUCGGAAUCGAUAACCGCUGAAAGCAUCUAAGCGGGAAGCGAGCCCUGAGAUGAGUCUUCCCUGAUACUUUAAGUAUCCUAAAGGGUUGUCGGAGACUACGACGUUGAUAGGUCAGGUGUGUAAGUGCUGUGAGGCAUUGAGCUAACUGAUACUAAUUGCCCGUGAGGCUUAACCAUACAACACCCA